This 440-nucleotide ribosomal RNA is filed under the name uncultured bacterium. RNAcentral describes it as "partial 16S ribosomal RNA". It matches the Rfam family "Bacterial small subunit ribosomal RNA", at positions 338 to 795 of the family's 1533-position model. The record is from RNAcentral.
CCUACGGGAGGCAGCAGUGGGGAAUAUUGCACAAUGGGGGAAACCCUGAUGCAGCGACGCCGCGUGAGUGAAGAAGGCUUUCGGUAUGUAAAGCUCUAUCAGCAGGGAAGAAAAUGACGGUACCUGAUUAAGAAGCCCCGGCUAACUACGUGCCAGCAGCCGCGGUAACACGUAGGGGGCCAGCGUUAUCCGGAUUUACUGGGUGUAAAGGGAGCGUAGACGGCAGCACAAGUCUGGAGUGAAAUGCCGGGGCUUAACCCCGGAACUGCUUUGGAAACUGUGCAGCUAGAGUGCAGGAGAGGUAAGUGGAAUUCCUAGUGUAGCGGUGAAAUGCGUAGAUAUUAGGAGGAACACCAGUGGCGAAGGCGGCUUACUGGACUGUAACUGACGUUGAGGCUCGAAAGCGUGGGGAGCGAACAGGAUUAGAUACCCUGGUAGUC